AGAGCGAACGCUGGCGGCAGGCCUAACACAUGCAAGUCGAGCGCCCGUAGCAAUACGGGAGCGGCAGACGGGAUAGUAACACGUGGGAACGCGCCCUUCGGUUCGGAAUAACUCAGGGAAACUUGAGCUAAUACCGAAUACGCCCUUACGGGGAAAGAUUUAUUGCCGAAGGAACGGCCCGCGUCCGAUUAGCUAGUUGGUGAGGUAAUGGCUCACCAAGGCUACGAUCGGUAGCUGGUCUGAGGGGAUGACCAGCAUCACUGGGACUGAGACACGGCCCAGACUCCUACGGGAGGCAGCAGUGGGGAAUAUGGACAAUGGGCGCAAGCCUGAUCCAGCCAUGCCGCGUGGAUGAUGAAGGCCUUAGGGUUGUAAAGUCCUUUUAACGGGAAGAUAAUGACGGUACCCGUAGAAUAACGCCCCGGCUAACUUCGUGCCAGCAGCCGC
Molecule: ribosomal RNA, 447 nt
Filed under: uncultured bacterium
Lineage: Bacteria
Description: SSU rRNA
Rfam family: Bacterial small subunit ribosomal RNA
Source: RNAcentral